RNAcentral lists this unclassified non-coding RNA (240 nucleotides) under soil metagenome. RNAcentral's name for it is "partial contains 5.8S ribosomal RNA, internal transcribed spacer 2, and large subunit ribosomal RNA". The record is from RNAcentral.
AAGACUAUAGACCUGCGGAGUACCUGCGGAAGGAUCAUUAACGUAUCUAUGAUGGGGUGCGGAGCGCCCUGCUCCGGUCGAACGGCCGUGCAGCGGGUGCGCCGCCCCCGUCCCACCUCACAAACCCACUGUGGACAUUCACCGGUGGAGGGGGCUCGGUCUGCGCCGUGUCCCCGAUGCCGAAUACCCAAACUCCAGUUGCAAAGAACGUCGUGCGGACUCGGUGCCGCCUAAAACAUG